GAUGAACGCUGGCGGCGUGCUUAACACAUGCAAGUCGAACGGGAAAUACUUCAUUGAGACUUCGGUGGAUUUGAUCUAUUUCUAGUGGCGGACGGGUGAGUAACGCGUGGGUAACCUGCCUUAUACAGGGGGAUAACAGUCAGAAAUGGCUGCUAAUACCGCAUAAGCGCACAGAGCUGCAUGGCUCAGUGUGAAAAACUCCGGUGGUAUAAGAUGGACCCGCGUUGGAUUAGCUGGUUGGUGGGGUAACGGCCCACCAAGGCGACGAUCCAUAGCCGGCCUGAGAGGGUGAACGGCCACAUUGGGACUGAGACACGGCCCAGACUCCUACGGGAGGCAGCAGUGGGGAAUAUUGCACAAUGGGGGAAACCCUGAUGCAGCGACGCCGCGUGAAGGAAGAAGUAUCUCGGUAUGUAAACUUCUAUCAGCAGGGAAGAUAGUGACGG
Molecule: ribosomal RNA, 446 nt
Filed under: uncultured bacterium
Lineage: Bacteria
Description: bacterial SSU rRNA
Rfam family: Bacterial small subunit ribosomal RNA
Source: RNAcentral